CCCCUAAGUAUCAAUAAAUGUGAGGAAAAACCUCAGUGCUAAAACCAAGGCCCAGAAUAGUUGCCUGGCCCCUCUCGACUCGAUGGUUGAUGAUCCCCAGCCCACGGAGUCACCGUGGUUCUACUGCUUUAUACGGGCUUCAACACACAGCUCCGCAGUCGUCCCAAUCUUCAAAGCAUGAAGAUUCCAGCAGUUAAUCUUCAAAAGCUCACUGAAAUCACAGACACAUCUGAACAUGGCAGGAGAGAGCUGGCACUUUAUAUUCCUGCGUUACCCUCUG
Pelobates cultripes (western spadefoot toad) is the source of this 280-nucleotide non-coding RNA. NCBI's taxonomy places the organism in Eukaryota, Metazoa, Chordata, Amphibia, Anura, Pelobatidae. The record is from the annotation of a GenBank genome assembly.